This 429-nucleotide ribosomal RNA is filed under the name uncultured bacterium. RNAcentral's name for it is "bacterial SSU rRNA". It matches the Rfam family "Bacterial small subunit ribosomal RNA", at positions 355 to 775 of the family's 1533-position model. The record is from RNAcentral.
UGGGGAAUAUUGCGCAAUGGGGGAAACCCUGACGCAGCGACGCCGUGUGAGGGAAGAAGGCUUUCGGGUCGUAAACCUCUGUCAGGAAGGAAGAACCCCCCGGGUCCGAACAGGGCUCGGGGCUGGCGGUACUUCCAGAGGAAGCGCCGGCUAACUCCGUGCCAGCAGCCGCGGUACUACGGAGGGCGCAAGCGUUAAUCGGAAUCACUGGGCGUAAAGCGCGCGUAGGCGGCUUUCUAAGUCGGACGUGAAAGCCCUCGGCUCAACCGGGGAAUUGCGUUCGAAACUGGAUGGCUUGAGUCCUGGAGAGGGUGGCGGAAUUCCGGGUGUAGGAGUGAAAUCCGUAGAUAUCCGGAGGAACACCGGUGGCGAAGGCGGCCACCUGGACAGGUACUGACGCUGAGGCGCGAAAGCGUGGGGAGCAAACAG